This 274-nucleotide unclassified non-coding RNA is filed under the name fungal sp. Its description in RNAcentral is "partial internal transcribed spacer region". The stretch from base 1 to 46 matches the Rfam family "Eukaryotic small subunit ribosomal RNA", at positions 1786 to 1831 of the family's 1831-position model. Lineage: Eukaryota; Fungi. The record is from RNAcentral.
AAGUCGUAACAAGGUUUCCGUAGGUGAACCUGCGGAAGGAUCAUUAUCACUUUAUGUCCCUAAACGAACCGUGAACUGCAUGCUCCUCAUAAGGCUCAUUGCCGGUUCUUCCUUUUCUUAGUCUCUCAUUAUUGUUGGGUUUUGUUUUUAACUAUUAACCAAUUGAACCCUUUAUAUUUUGAUUUUUUUGACUGAAUUGUUUCUUACCCUUCAUUGGGAAGAAAUCAUUUAUUAAACAAAAGUACAACUCUUAGCAACGGAUAUCUUGGCUCUC